CGCGGCAUCGGUGGGCCUUGGCUCCCACGAGCGGGGCGCGGACGCCGCCGCGGGCUCGGCCGAGGAGACCGGCGCGAUGCCGGCCGCCGCGUCCA
This 95-nucleotide transfer RNA is filed under the name Asanoa ferruginea. Its description in RNAcentral is "tRNA-Pro". Lineage: Bacteria; Bacillati; Actinomycetota; Actinomycetes; Micromonosporales; Micromonosporaceae. The record is from RNAcentral.